Molecule: ribosomal RNA, 448 nt
Filed under: uncultured bacterium
Lineage: Bacteria
Description: partial 16S ribosomal RNA
Rfam family: Bacterial small subunit ribosomal RNA
Source: RNAcentral
GUCCAGACUCCUACGGGAGGCAGCAGUGGGGAAUAUUGGGCAAUGGGCGCAAGCCUGACCCAGCAACGCCGCGUGAAGGAAGAAGGCUUUCGGGUUGUAAACUUCUUUUGACAGGGAAGAGCAGAAGACGGUACCUGUCGAAUAAGCCACGGCUAACUACGUGCCAGCAGCCGCGGUAAUACGUAGGGAGCGAGCGUUGUCCGGAAUUACUGGGUGUAAAGGGAGCGUAGGCGGGACUGCAAGUUGGGUGUCAAAUCUACCGGCUCAACCGGUAGCCGCACUCAAAACUGCAGUUCUUGAGUGAAGUAGAGGCAGGCGGAAUUCCUAGUGUAGCGGUGAAAUGCGUAGAUAUUAGGAGGAACACCAGUGGGGAAGGCGGCCUGCUGGGCUUUUACUGACGCUGAGGCUCGAAAGUGUGGGGAGCAAACAGGAUUAGAUACCCGGGUAU